Molecule: long non-coding RNA, 704 nt
Filed under: Brassica rapa (field mustard)
Lineage: Eukaryota; Viridiplantae; Streptophyta; Magnoliopsida; Brassicales; Brassicaceae
Description: long non-coding RNA (BRAP_LNC003708)
Source: RNAcentral
GAAGCAAUAGAAGCCCAUGAUUUUGGCCUCCAAAAUAAUAACUUUAUUUUUGGCCAAUUUCUUAAAAAACAUCUGUUAGCUUUACAUUAACAACGUAAAAUUUGGUAGCUAACCAAAAAAUAUAAUUUCAUAUAUUAAUUGAUAAACCUAGAUAUAGGCUUUGAAACAUCUACAUUUUGACAAAAAAAAAGAAACACCUACCAUUAUUCAAUAGGGUCAAUUGGUGAAGUAACUAUAUUGGAAACAAAAUUAACAAAAUAGAUAUACAUUGGAAGUGUGAAAUUUUAACACACACUUGGAUCUUUCUCUUCCGCAUGCGCGUGGGCAUAUGCUAUUCUAUUUUCGUGUAUAACAUAGAACAAACCAAACACAGUAAGAGAGAAAAAGAUAGAAGGAGAGGGAGAGAUAGAGAGUAAGAGAAAUAUUGUAACUUAUAUUAGAAUGUUAAGGACAUAAUAAAAAAGAGUGAAGAGUUAGGAGUGAGAUGGAGAAGAAGUAGAAAGAAAAAGAACAAUGAGAUGGAAGAAAAAAGCUAAAGAAAAAUAAGGAAGAAAAAAAUGAGUAAUCAGUGAAAAAAAUUUAAAGGAAGAGCAGAGGAGAGAAGGGUAACAAAAAAGAUGAAGAGGAAGAAGAUGAAAAAAAUGUGAAGAAGAACAAAAAAGAAGAGGAGGAUGAUAUAAUUGUAACAUACUAUAUUGUGCCAC